AAGAGUGAAGCAAUAAUUGCAAUCAGUUUCGACCUGAACUUAGGAAAACCCCUCUCUUA
This 59-nucleotide transfer RNA is filed under the name Ornithodoros turicata. RNAcentral's name for it is "tRNA-Arg". The record is from RNAcentral. Lineage: Eukaryota; Metazoa; Arthropoda; Arachnida; Ixodida; Argasidae.